RNAcentral lists this ribosomal RNA (1429 nucleotides) under Streptomyces sp. Its description in RNAcentral is "bacterial SSU rRNA". It matches the Rfam family "Bacterial small subunit ribosomal RNA". The record is from RNAcentral. Lineage: Bacteria; Bacillati; Actinomycetota; Actinomycetes; Kitasatosporales; Streptomycetaceae.
ACGAAGGGGCGGGUGCUACCAUGCAGUCGACGAUGAAGCCCUUCGGGGUGGAUUAGUGGCGAACGGGUGAGUAACACGUGGGCAAUCUGCCCUUCACUCUGGGACAAGCCCUGGAAACGGGGUCUAAUACCGGAUAACACUCUGUCCCGCAUGGGACGGGGUUGAAAGCUCCGGCGGUGAAGGAUGAGCCCGCGGCCUAUCAGCUUGUUGGUGGGGUAAUGGCCUACCAAGGCGACGACGGGUAGCCGGCCUGAGAGGGCGACCGGCCACACUGGGACUGAGACACGGCCCAGACUCCUACGGGAGGCAGCAGUGGGGAAUAUUGCACAAUGGGCGAAAGCCUGAUGCAGCGACGCCGCGUGAGGGAUGACGGCCUUCGGGUUGUAAACCUCUUUCAGCAGGGAAGAAGCGAAAGUGACGGUACCUGCAGAAGAAGCGCCGGCUAACUACGUGCCAGCAGCCGCGGUAAUACGUAGGGCGCAAGCGUUGUCCGGAAUUAUUGGGCGUAAAGAGCUCGUAGGCGGCUUGUCACGUCGGAUGUGAAAGCCCGGGGCUUAACCCCGGGUCUGCAUUCGAUACGGGCUAGCUAGAGUGUGGUAGGGGAGAUCGGAAUUCCUGGUGUAGCGGUGAAAUGCGCAGAUAUCAGGAGGAACACCGGUGGCGAAGGCGGAUCUCUGGGCCAUUACUGACGCUGAGGAGCGAAAGCGUGGGGAGCGAACAGGAUUAGAUACCCUGGUAGUCCACGCCGUAAACGUUGGGAACUAGGUGUUGGCGACAUUCCACGUCGUCGGUGCCGCAGCUAACGCAUUAAGUUCCCCGCCUGGGGAGUACGGCCGCAAGGCUAAAACUCAAAGGAAUUGACGGGGGCCCGCACAAGCAGCGGAGCAUGUGGCUUAAUUCGACGCAACGCGAAGAACCUUACCAAGGCUUGACAUAUACCGGAAAGCAUCAGAGAUGGUGCCCCCCUUGUGGUCGGUAUACAGGUGGUGCAUGGCUGUCGUCAGCUCGUGUCGUGAGAAUGUUGGGUUAAGUCCCGCAACGAGCGCAACCCUUGUUCUGUGUUGCCAGCAUGCCCUUCGGGGUGAUGGGGACUCACAGGAGACUGCCGGGGUCAACUCGGAGGAAGGUGGGGACGACGUCAAGUCAUCAUGCCCCUUAUGUCUUGGGCUGCACACGUGCUACAAUGGCCGGUACAAUGAGCUGCGAUGCCGCGAGGCGGAGCGAAUCUCAAAAAGCCGGUCUCAGUUCGGAUUGGGGUCUGCAACUCGACCCCAUGAAGUCGGAGUUGCUAGUAAUCGCAGAUCAGCAUUGCUGCGGUGAAUACGUUCCCGGGCCUUGUACACACCGCCCGUCACGUCACGAAAGUCGGUAACACCCGAAGCCGGUGGCCCAACCCCUUGUGGGAGGGAGCUUCGAAGUUGACUCCGGU